GACGAACGCUGGCGGCGUGCUUAACACAUGCAAGUCGAACGGAAAGGCCCUGCUUUUGUGGGGUGCUCGAGUGGCGAACGGGUGAGUAACACGUGAGUAACCUGCCCUUGACUUUGGGAUAACUUCAGGAAACUGGGGCUAAUACCGGAUAGGAGCUCCUGCUGCAUGGUGGGGGUUGGAAAGUUUCGGCGGUUGGGGAUGGACUCGCGGCUUAUCAGCUUGUUGGUGGGGUAGUGGCUUACCAAGGCUUUGACGGGUAGCCGGCCUGAGAGGGUGACCGGCCACAUUGGGACUGAGAUACGGCCCAGACUCCUACGGGAGGCAGCAGUGGGGAAUAUUGCACAAUGGGCUGAAGCCUGAUGCAGCAACGCCGCGUGCGGGAUGACGGCCUUCGGGUUGUAAACCGCUUUCGCCUGUGACGAAGCGUGAGUGACGGUAAUGGGUAAAGAAGCACCGGCUAACUACGUG
Molecule: ribosomal RNA, 468 nt
Filed under: uncultured bacterium
Lineage: Bacteria
Description: partial 16S ribosomal RNA
Rfam family: Bacterial small subunit ribosomal RNA
Source: RNAcentral